CCCUCGGUGGACUACACUCCCCAGAGUCCUCGGGAGUCGUCCAGGUACACGCCCCAGAAUAUUGGUCAUAGCGGUCCACCCGGGACUGCGCGACCCGGAAUCCUUGGAAGGACUUCUCGGAAGGACUCCUCUCUGACAGUAGUGACAUAAUAUUCUUCACUGUGGCUUCUUCCAUUGUGACCCAGACCAAUCUACUUAAGGUCCGCAAAUACUGCUCACGUUCUCCCAUGAAGUCCAUCAUGUGGGGAGUGUUUUCCUUGUAGGAUUACGCUGCUCUCAAGUGCAUACAUGAUGAUCUUUUUGUCCAAGCAUCAGAGGUGAUCCCAGCAUCUUCACAGUACCAGCCUUUCCCCAAGAUCCUCGCCAGAGAAAAGGGUUACCCAGAUCAUCCUGCCACUGGUGAGUUGCUUUGUUGUCAUGUACUGGGUGGACCUUAUCAUCUCAUCCUCUUCAUCCCUGUUAUGGACGUAUAACCCAGUCAUCCUGAGCAUCUAGAACCUUGUAGCCUGUGUCUAUGCCACUCUCGUUCCAUUGGUACAAAUCCGCUCUGAUAAAAGAAUAGUUAAUAUUCUCCAAAAAAUGGAAUUAAAGUGCUAUAAUUUUUUAAUGUGUUGGUGAUGAAAAAUAUUUCUAAAAAUUAGUCUCAUUCUAUAGUUAAAUUGUUCAAGUAGCCCCAGAUUUAGCUUACUGAGUUUAAAUAAAAUGCGUGGAAUUACACUUUUAUUAUAUUUUUAUGCUUCUGAAACUGAGGCAUCUAAGGACUAUGUAGUUUCUUCAGUUCAAUGUUCACCAUAGAUUGACAUUUCAGAUAUCAAGUCUUUUGCACUUUUAUUUUUAUGUUAACUUUGUACAAGAAAAUGUUUCUCUCUUUUUGAAGUACAUUCUUAAAAAAUUUGUUUUGGUAAUCAAAUCUCUCAAUGUUUUUACUUUUGAAAAUAUUUACUUACUCUGUUUAUGAAUGAUACUUUAGCUAAAUAUUCAAUUCUAGCUUUUAAGCCAUGCUUGCUCAUUGUAACCUCCCUGACUAAAAAAAAUUAUGUCAAUUUGGAUUUUAAAUUUAAUCUAGAAUUCAUUUUAAAGGGUUUUAAAUGAAAUUUAUAUGUGGCUAGAUACUGUUUUGGUAAUACUCGAUAGUUUCCCGCCUCUAUUGGGAUAUUAUUGACAAAAAUUUUGUAUAUUUAUGGUGCACAAUAUGAUGUUUUGAGGUAUAGACACGUGCACGCAGACACAUAAACACACACACACACACACAUUGUAAAAUUACCAAAAUCAAGCUUAAUAACAUGUCAAUUACUUCUCAUACAAGGGUAUUUUUGGUGUAUGGUGAGAACAUUUGAGAUCUACUUCAUUAAUAUAAUUUACUUAUACAAUACAUAUUAUUAAUAUAGUCUCUAUGCUGUAUACAUAUAUUUAUAUUAACUUCUCUUUUGUUAUUGUUGGAGACAGUUGUCUGUCUUUGUUCCCCAGGCUGGAGUGCAGUGGCAUUAUCAUAGCUCACUGAAACGUCAAACUCCUGGGUUCAAAUCAUUCUCCCACCUCAGCCUCAAAAGUAGCUAGAACUACAGGGGUGCACCACUAUGCCAAGCUAAUUUGUAGGAACAGAGUCUUGCUAUGUUACCCAGGCUGGUCUUGAACUCCUGGCCUCAAGCAAUCCUCCUGCCUUAGCCUCCCAAAAUACAGGGAUUAUAGGCAUGAGCCACAUGCCUAGCUUUAUAACAUUUUCUUUAUUCAUUUAUGUGUUGAUGGACAUUUACAUUGUUUUCAUAUCUUGUCUAUUGUGAAUAUUGCUUCAAGAAACAUAGGAGUGAAGAUAUCUCUUCAAUAUGUGAUUUUAUGUUCUUUGGAUAUUUAACCAUAGGUAGGAUUCCUGAAUCAUAUGAUAGUUUUAUUUUUAAUUUUUUGAUGAAUAAUCAUGCUGUUUUCCAUAAUGGCUUUACCAAUUUACAUUCCCAGUGACAGUGUACAAGGUUCCUUUUCUCUCCAUCAUUGAUAACAUUUGUUUUCUUUUGAAUUUUUAAUAAACAUUACCCUAACAUGUGCUUGAGGUGCUAUCUCAUUUUGGUUUUGAUUUGCAUUCUCCUGAUGAUUACUAAUGGCUUCUUUGAAAAAGGAUCCAUUUAGAUUAUUUGGCUACUUUUAAAAAGAAUGUGUUAUUUUUAUUGUUAUUUUUAUUCAGAGGGGGUUAUAUUUUAUGAAUUUCUUACAGAUUUUGAAUGCUAACCCUUUAUCUGAUAUUUGGCUUACAAGUAUUUUUCUUCGGUUCUGUGGAUUGCCUUUUAAAUUGAUUGACUGUCUUUUGCUAUGCAGUAGAAACUUUUUAGUUUGAUGUCGUUUCAUUUUUUUUCUCCCUGGGCUUUUAGUGUCAAAUACAAAAAAUAAUUAUUGCCGCAAACAAUGCCAAAGAAUUUUCCCCAAUGUUGUUUUCUAAAAGUUUUAUGGUUUCAGGUCCAAUAUUGAAGUCUUUAAUCUCUUAAGUUAAUUUUUGUGUAUUCUGUAAAAGAUGGGUUAAAUUUUUUUUGCAUGUGUAUAUCCAGUUUUCCCAUCACCAUUUAUUGAACAGUGUAUUCUUUCUUCACUGUAUAUUUAUAUAUCUUUGUUGAAAAUUAGUUGACUGUGUUCAGAUGGAUAUUUCUGAGCUCUCUAUUCAGUUUCAUUGGUCUAUGUGUCUGUGUUAAUGCCAGCAUCAUGCUGUUUUGAUGACUGUAGCUUUGUUAUAUCAUUUGAAAUUAAGAAGUUUGAUGCCUUCAGCUUUGUUCUUGCUCAAAAUUCUUUGGUUAUUUUGGGUCUUUUCUAAUUCCUUACAAACUUUAGAAAUUUUUUAUUUUUCUGGAAAAUGAUAUUUUAAUUUUGAUGGAGAUUGCUUUAAAUUUUUUUUUUUUUUUUUUGAGAUGGAGUCUCACUGUGUCACCCAGGGCCCAGGCUGGAGUGCAGUGAGGUGAUCUCAGCUCACUGCAACCUCCACCUUCCUGGUUCAAACAAUUCCCCUGACUCAGCCUCCUGAGUAGCUGGGAUUACAGGUGCACGCCACCAUGCCUGGCUAAUUUUUUUGUGUGUUUUUAGUAGAGAUGGGGUUUCACCAUGUUGGCCAGACUGGUCACGAACUCCUGACCUCAAGCAAUCCACCCACCUCGGCCUCCCAAAGUGCUAGGAUUACAGGUGUGAGCCACUGCACCCGGUGAGAUUGCUUUAAAUCUUUAUAUCACUUUUAGUAGUAUGAAUGUUUUAAUAUUAAUUUAUCCAAUCCAUGAACACUAAGUUUUUUUUGUCUCUUCUAUAAUUGCCUUUGCCACUAUUUUAGAGUUUUUAUUGUACAAAUCUUUUACCGUCUUAGUUAUAAGUAUUAUUUUUUAUGUUAUGGCAUAUGGAAUUUUCUUAAUUUUUCCCAUAUAUUUUGUUGUAAGUGUAUAGAAAUGCAAUUUAUUGUUUUGUACAUUGAUAUAGUAUCCUGCAACAUUGCUGAAUUAGUUUAUUAGUUUUAAAAGUUUUUUUCCUGUAAUGAUGAGCACACGGGACUGUGUUUACACACUCAUUAAUAUUCUGUUAACAUAUCACAGUGCCUAAAAAUGUGCUCUGUUGUAUUUCUGCGGUGACCAAUUUAAUGGCAUCUUUUAGUCCUAAUUUUUUUUUCUUUUAAAAUACUUUUGUCUGGUAUUGUAUAAUGGUGUGUUACUUUUCAGUUGUGCUACACAUUUAUUUCCAGGCAGAGUUAGUCAAGCUUUCUAAUAAAGUUAUUUAAUACCUUUA
Molecule: long non-coding RNA, 3744 nt
Filed under: Homo sapiens (human)
Lineage: Eukaryota; Metazoa; Chordata; Mammalia; Primates; Hominidae
Description: HSALNT0400356
Source: RNAcentral